CACUAUCGUUAACUGAAUACAUAGGUUAACGAGGCGAACCGGGGGAACUGAAACAUCUAAGUACCCCGAGGAAAAGAAAUCAACCGAGAUUCCCCCAGUAGCGGCGAGCGAACGGGGAGCAGCCCAGAGUCUGAAUCAGCUUGUGUGUUAGUGGAACGGUCUGGAAAGUCCGACGGUACAGGGUGAUAGUCCCGUACACCAAAAUGCACAGGCUGUGAACUCGAAGAGUAGGGCGGGACACGUGGUAUCCUGUCUGAAUAUGGGGGGACCAUCCUCCAAGGCUAAAUACUCCUGACUGACCGAUAGUGAACCAGUACCGUGAGGGAAAGGCGAAAAGAACCCCGGCGAGGGGAGUGAAAAAGAACCUGAAACCGUGUACGUACAAGCAGUGGGAGCACCUUCGGGUGUGACUGCGUACCUUUUGUAUAAUGGGUCAGCGACUUAUAUUCUGUAGCAAGGUUAACCGUAUAGGGGAGCCGCAGGGAAACCGAGUCUUAACUGGGCGUUAAGUUGCAGGGUAUAGACCCGAAACCCGGUGAUCUAGCCAUGGGCAGGUUGAAGGUUGGGUAACACUAACUGGAGGACCGAACCGACUAAUGUUGAAAAAUUAGCGGAUGACUUGUGGCUGGGGGUGAAAGGCCAAUCAAACCGGGAGAUAGCUGGUUCUCCCCGAAAGCUAUUUAGGUAGCGCCUCGUGAAUUCAUCUUCGGGGGUAGAGCACUGUUUCGGCUAGGGGGUCAUCCCGACUUACCAACCCGAUGCAAACUACGAAUACCGAAGAAUGUUAUCACGGGAGACACACGGCGGGUGCUAACGUCCGUCGUGAAGAGGGAAACAACCCAGACCGCCAGCUAAGGUCCCAAAGUCAUGGUUAAGUGGGAAACGAUGUGGGAAGGCACAGACAGCCAGGAUGUUGGCUUAGAAGCAGCCAUCAUUUAAAGAAAGCGUAAUAGCUCACUGGUCGAGUCGGCCUGCGCGGAAGAUGUAACGGGGCUAAACCAUGCACCGAAGCUGCGGCAGCGACACUAUGUGUUGUUGGGUAGGGGAGCGUUCUGUAAGCCUGCGAAGGUGACCUGUGAGGGUUGCUGGAGGUAUCAGAAGUGCGAAUGCUGACAUAAGUAACGAUAAAGCGGGUGAAAAGCCCGCUCGCCGGAAGACCAAGGGUUCCUGUCCAACGUUAAUCGGGGCAGGGUGAGUCGACCCCUAAGGCGAGGCCGAAAGGCGUAGUCGAUGGGAAACAGGUUAAUAUUCCUGUACUUGGUGUUACUGCGAAGGGGGGACGGAGAAGGCUAUGUUAGCCGGGCGACGGUUGUCCCGGUUUAAGCAUGUAGGCUGAUUAUCCAGGCAAAUCCGGAUAAUCAAGGCUGAGGUGUGAUGACGAGGCACUACGGUGCUGAAGUAACAAAUGCCCUGCUUCCAGGAAAAGCCUCUAAGCAUCAGGUAACAUUAAAUCGUACCCCAAACCGACACAGGUGGUCAGGUAGAGAAUACCAAGGCGCUUGAGAGAACUCGGGUGAAGGAACUAGGCAAAAUGGUGCCGUAACUUCGGGAGAAGGCACGCUGGUGUGUAGGUGAAGUCCCUGCGGAUGGAGCUGAGACCAGUCGAAGAUACCAGCUGGCUGCAACUGUUUAUUAAAAACACAGCACUGUGCAAACACGAAAGUGGACGUAUACGGUGUGACGCCUGCCCGGUGCCGGAAGGUUAAUUGAUGGGGUUAUCCGUAAGGAGAAGCUCUUGAUCGAAGCCCCGGUAAACGGCGGCCGUAACUAUAACGGUCCUAAGGUAGCGAAAUUCCUUGUCGGGUAAGUUCCGACCUGCACGAAUGGCGUAAUGAUGGCCAGGCUGUCUCCACCCGAGACUCAGUGAAAUUGAACUCGCUGUGAAGAUGCAGUGUACCCGCGGCAAGACGGAAAGACCCCGUGAACCUUUACUAUAGCUUGACACUGAACAUUGAGCCUUGAUGUGUAGGAUAGGUGGGAGGCUUUGAAGCGUGGACGCCAGUCUGCGUGGAGCCAACCUUGAAAUACCACCCUUUAAUGUUUGAUGUUCUAACGUUGGCCCCUUACCGGGGUUGCGGACAGUGUCUGGUGGGUAGUUUGACUGGGGCGGUCUCCUCCCAAAGCGUAACGGAGGAGCACGAAGGUUAGCUAAUCCUGGUCGGACAUCAGGAGGUUAGUGCAAUGGCAUAAGCUAGCUUGACUGCGAGCGUGACGGCGCGAGCAGGUGCGAAAGCAGGUCAUAGUGAUCCGGUGGUUCUGAAUGGAAGGGCCAUCGCUCAACGGAUAAAAGGUACUCCGGGGAUAACAGGCUGAUACCGCCCAAGAGUUCAUAUCGACGGCGGUGUUUGGCACCUCGAUGUCGGCUCAUCACAUCCUGGGGCUGAAGUAGGUCCCAAGGGUAUGGCUGUUCGCCAUUUAAAGUGGUACGCGAGCUGGGUUUAGAACGUCGUGAGACAGUUCGGUCCCUAUCUGCCGUGGGCGCUGGAGAAUUGAGGGGGGCUGCUCCUAGUACGAGAGGACCGGAGUGGACGCAUCACUGGUGUUCGGGUUGUCAUGCCAAUGGCACUGCCCGGUAGCUAAAUGCGGAAGAGAUAAGUGCUGAAAGCAUCUAAGCACGAAACUUGCCCCGAGAUGAGUUCUCCCUGAGACUUUAAGUCUCCUGAAGGAACGUU
Molecule: ribosomal RNA, 2672 nt
Filed under: Klebsiella pneumoniae
Lineage: Bacteria; Pseudomonadati; Pseudomonadota; Gammaproteobacteria; Enterobacterales; Enterobacteriaceae
Description: bacterial LSU rRNA
Rfam family: Bacterial large subunit ribosomal RNA
Source: RNAcentral